Molecule: non-coding RNA, 994 nt
Organism: Vicugna pacos (alpaca)
Lineage: Eukaryota; Metazoa; Chordata; Mammalia; Artiodactyla; Camelidae
Source: RefSeq, a predicted model, not a curated record
CGGAGGAGGCGUGGUCUCCGACUUGGGAGAGGCCGCGCUUCCUGACCCGGUCCCUCUGCACCAACGUGGAUGGGGGAGGGGCGCGCACUCCUUCAGCCCAGGCUUUUGCGGGUUAAUCGGGCUGGAUCUGAAGAGCUGUUCCCGAACCGUGCUAUGCUUAUCGUAGGGACUAGGGGGCUUUAUUUUUGUGUGUCCAAUUCGUAUGCUGCAGCAAAAUGGCCCUUCAGUCGCAUUUUGAGGGGUUCUCGGCAGAGUUCAAAUGCUCUAGCGUUGAAAAAAAAUCCUGAAGGGGAAAAAAAAAGAGUGACGCCCUCCUCCCCCAUUAAUUAUUUGUGGGGCUGGAGUAACGCGGGCUGGUGCAACCGGUGCAUAUAAGGACUUGUGUGCAAGGAAGGGGAUCCGCCUCCAGCCGCGGAACGAAUGGGGGAGACGCGCACUCGCGCGGGGCACGCAGCCCCGCGUUUCAGCAAAUUGCAACUGCAGCCCCCGGGAUCCAGGAUGGCAGUUCUCUAGGGCCAGUCACUCGCCGCCUCGGGGCUGGGAAGAUCUGCCAGAAGCGGGAAAGCUGGGAGAGCUGAGCUCCCUCUGGCCUCGCCACACCCAGGACCUGUCCGUGCCGCAAUUCCCCCACGGAAACGACCGAAUUGAAACGAGAAUUGUUCUCCGGGUGCAGUGGCUUGACUGCUUCAGAUCUCUGGAGAGCUGUUCCUUGAGUUUUCUGCCCACUGUUAUCCAAAGGGAACAUUCUCUCCACCCCAGUCUGCCUGAUAUGCUGCUAUUUACCUUCUUAGGCUCAGAUGUCACCUCUUCCAGGAAGUCUUUAUUGAACUUUCCCCCUGCCACACCCCUCUGAAGACUGAGUUGAUCACUCCCUACCUCUGUGCCUUGUAAUAUUGUUACUGUGCACCACCGCAAUUUCUUUCAUUUACAUAUCUCAAGUCAAAUAUUUGUUAAUUCAAGGCCUAGGCAUUAAUUUUAUCUGUGUAUCUAGUAA